Molecule: ribosomal RNA, 875 nt
Filed under: uncultured bacterium
Lineage: Bacteria
Description: bacterial SSU rRNA
Rfam family: Bacterial small subunit ribosomal RNA
Source: RNAcentral
UGAGUUUGAUCCUGGCUCAGGACGAACGCUGGCGGCGUGCUUAACACAUGCAAGUCGAGCGAACCUUCGGGUUAGCGGCGAACGGGUGAGUAACACGUGGGCAACCUGCCCCGAGCUCUGGGAUAACCCCGGGAAACCGGGGCUAAUACCGGAUAUGACCCGAGAAGACAUCUUCUCGGGUGGAAAGUUUUUCGGCUCGGGAUGGGCCCGCGGCCUAUCAGCUUGUUGGUGGGGUAACGGCCUACCAAGGCGACGACGGGUAGCCGGCCUGAGAGGGCGACCGGCCACACUGGGACUGAGACACGGCCCAGACUCCUACGGGAGGCAGCAGUGGGGAAUAUUGCGCAAUGGGCGAAAGCCUGACGCAGCGACGCCGCGUGAGGGAUGAAGGCCUUCGGGUUGUAAACCUCUUUCAGCAGGGACGAAGCGAAAGUGACGGUACCUGCAGAAGAAGCACCGGCCAACUACGUGCCAGCAGCCGCGGUAAUACGUAGGGUGCAAGCGUUGUCCGGAAUUAUUGGGCGUAAAGAGCUCGUAGGCGGCCUGUCGCGUCGGCUGUGAAAACCCAGGGCUCAACCCUGGGCCUGCAGUCGAUACGGGCAGGCUAGAGUCCGGCAGGGGAGACUGGAAUUCCUGGUGUAGCGGUGAAAUGCGCAGAUAUCAGGAGGAACACCGGUGGCGAAGGCGGGUCUCUGGGCCGGAACUGACGCUGAGGAGCGAAAGCGUGGGGAGCGAACAGGAUUAGAUACCCUGGUAGUCCACGCCGUAAACGUUGGGCGCUAGGUGUGGGGAACCUUCCACGUUCUCCGUGCCGCAGCUAACGCAUUAAGCGCCCCGCCUGGGGAGUACGGCCGCAAGGCUAAAACUCAAAGGAA